Molecule: ribosomal RNA, 274 nt
Filed under: uncultured bacterium
Lineage: Bacteria
Description: partial 16S ribosomal RNA
Rfam family: Bacterial small subunit ribosomal RNA
Source: RNAcentral
AUACGAAAGGUGCAAGCGUUGUUCGGAUUUACUGGGCGUAAAGAGAGUGUAGGUUGUUUAUUAAGUCGGAUGUGAAAUCCCGGGGCUCAACCUCGGAACUGCAUUCGAUACUGGUAGACUAGAGUUCGGGAGGGGUAAGCGGAAUUCCGUGUGUAGCAGUGAAAUGCGUAGAUAUACGGAGGAACACCUGAGGCGAAGGCGGCUUACUGGACCGAUACUGACACUCAGACUCGAAAGCGUGGGUAGCAAACAGGAUUAGAUACCCUAGUAGUCC